GUGGAGCGGUGAAAUGCGUAGAUAUUGGAAAGACCACCAAUGGCGAAGGCACUCUACUGGGCCAUUACUGACACUGAGAGACGAAAGCUAGGGGAGCAAAUGGGAUUAGAUACCCCAGUAGUCCUAGCUGUAAACGAUGGAUACUAGAUGUCGCAUGUAUCGACCCAUGCGGUAUUAUAGCUAACGCGUUAAGUAUCCCGCCUGGGAA
This 208-nucleotide ribosomal RNA is filed under the name Chaetoceros curvisetus. RNAcentral describes it as "partial Bacterial small subunit ribosomal RNA". It matches the Rfam family "Bacterial small subunit ribosomal RNA", at positions 673 to 879 of the family's 1533-position model. Lineage: Eukaryota; Bacillariophyta; Thalassiosirophyceae; Chaetocerotales; Chaetocerotaceae. The record is from RNAcentral.